Mycena leptocephala is the source of this 89-nucleotide non-coding RNA. NCBI's taxonomy places the organism in Eukaryota, Fungi, Basidiomycota, Agaricomycetes, Agaricales, Mycenaceae. The record is from the annotation of a GenBank genome assembly.
GUGUCGUUGGUGUAGUGGUAACACACAAUCUACUGUUGGUGAAGGAUCGCUGAAUGAUUGGGUCCGGGGUUUGACUCCCCGAGGGCGCU